GAUGAACGCUGGCGGCGUGCCUAAUACAUGCAAGUCGAACGCUGAAGCAGGAGCUUGCUUCUCUGGAUGAUUUCCGAACGGGUGAGUAACGCGUAGGUAACCUGCCUGGUAUCGGGGGGUAACUAUUGGAAACGAUAGCUAAUACCGCAUAAUAUUAGAUGUUCCAUGACAUUUACUUAAAAGGUGCAAUUUCAUCACUACCAGAUGGACCUGCGGUGUAUUAGCUAGUUGGUGGGGUAAAGGCUCACCAAGGCGACGAUACAUAGCCGACCUGAGAGGGUGAUCGGCCAAAAUGGGAACGGAGCAAGGGCCAGACUUCUAAGGGGAGGAGCAGUAGGGGAACUUCGGAAAAGGAGGGAAGUCUGAACGAGGAAAGCCGGGGGGGUGAAGGAGGUUUUCGGAUCGUAAAGCUCUGUUGUAAGGGAAGAAAGAGUGUGAGAGUGAAAAGUUCACACUGUGACGGUAUCUAACCAGAAAGGGACGGCUAACUACGUG
Molecule: ribosomal RNA, 495 nt
Filed under: uncultured bacterium
Lineage: Bacteria
Description: partial 16S ribosomal RNA
Rfam family: Bacterial small subunit ribosomal RNA
Source: RNAcentral